UACGAAGGGGGCUAGCGUUGCUCGGAAUCACUGGGCGUAAAGGGUGCGUAGGCGGUUUGGUAAGUCUGAUGUGAAAUCUAUGGGCUCAACUCAUAGUCUGCAUCGGAAACUGCCGGGCUUGAGUAUGGGAGAGGUGAGUGGAAUUCCUGGUGUAGCGGUGAAAUGCGUAGAUAUCAGGAGGAACACCUGUGGCGAAAGCGGCUCACUGGACCAUAACUGACGCUGAUGCACGAAAGCUAGGGGAGCAAACAGG
This 253-nucleotide ribosomal RNA is filed under the name uncultured bacterium. RNAcentral describes it as "partial 16S ribosomal RNA". It matches the Rfam family "Bacterial small subunit ribosomal RNA", at positions 524 to 776 of the family's 1533-position model. The record is from RNAcentral.